AUUCUUAUAGCUUAUGUAGAGCACGAUACUGAAGAUAUCGGGGAAGCAAAUUUGUUUUGGGAUA
RNAcentral lists this transfer RNA (64 nucleotides) under Anaplecta sp. 4 ZQW-2020. RNAcentral's name for it is "tRNA-Phe". Lineage: Eukaryota; Metazoa; Arthropoda; Insecta; Blattodea; Anaplectidae. The record is from RNAcentral.